Molecule: ribosomal RNA, 888 nt
Filed under: uncultured marine group I thaumarchaeote
Lineage: Archaea; Thermoproteati; Nitrososphaerota
Description: SSU rRNA
Rfam family: Archaeal small subunit ribosomal RNA
Source: RNAcentral
UCCCGCCGGACCUGACUGCUAUCGGAUUGAUACUAAGCCAUGCGAGUCAUUGUAGCAAUACAAGGCAGACGGCUCAGUAACGCGUAGUCAACCUACCCUAUGGACGGGAAUAACCUCGGGAAACUGAGUAUAAUGCCCGAUAGAACAUUAUGCCUGGAAGGGUUUAUGUUCCAAAUGAUUUAUCGCCGUAGGAUGGGACUGCGGCCUAUCAGUUUGUUGGUGAGGUAAUGGCCCACCAAGGCGAUUACAGGUACGGGCUCUGAGAGGAGAAGCCCGGAGAUGGGUACUGAGACACGGACCCAGGCCCUAUGGGGCGCAGCAGGCGAGAAAACUUUGCAAUGUGCGAAAGCACGACAAGGUUAAUCCGAGUGAUUUCUGCUAAAGAAAUCUUUUGCCAGUCAUAAAACCACUGGUGAAUAAGGGGUGGGCAAGUUCUGGUGUCAGCCGCCGCGGUAAAACCAGCACCUCAAGUGGUCAGGAUGAUUAUUGGGCCUAAAGCAUCCGUAGCCGGCUUUGUUAGUUUUCGGUUAAAUCCAUGUGCUCAACGCAUGGGCUGCCGAAAAUACUGCAUAGCUAGGGAGUGGGAGAGGUAGACGGUACUCAGUAGGAAGGGGUAAAAUCCUUUGAUCUAUUGAUGACCACCUGUGGCGAAGGCGGUCUACCAGAACACGUUCGACGGUGAGGGAUGAAAGCUGGGGGAGCAAACCGGAUUAGAUACCCGGGUAGUCCCAGCUGUAAACGAUGCAGACUCGAUGAUGCAUUGGCAUAAUAGCCAGUGCAGUGUCGCAGGGAAGCCGUUAAGUCUGCCGCCUGGGAAGUACGUACGCAAGUAUGAAACUUAAAGGAAUUGGCGGGGGAGCACCACAAGGGGUGAAGCCUGCGGUUCAA